Molecule: unclassified non-coding RNA, 272 nt
Filed under: air metagenome
Description: partial contains small subunit ribosomal RNA, internal transcribed spacer 1, and 5.8S ribosomal RNA
Rfam family: Eukaryotic small subunit ribosomal RNA (bases 1-46)
Source: RNAcentral
AAGUCGUAACAAGGUUUCCGUAGGUGAACCUGCGGAAGGAUCAUUAUUGAAGCUCGGAAUGCAUGUUCGGUGCUGAUGCUGCCCAGCAAUGGGACGUGCUCGCUCGGAUGUGUGUCCCUUCUCUAUUCCACCCCUUUGUGAACCAAGUGUGCGAGCCGAUGAGAAAUCGGAGGCUCGCAUGCAAACCCUUAACAUACCCCAAUGAAGUAUCAGAAUGUAACUUGCGUUAACUCGCACAAAUACAACUUUCAACAACGGAUCUCUUGGCUCUC